Dreissena polymorpha is the source of this 1289-nucleotide long non-coding RNA. RefSeq lists it as uncharacterized. NCBI's taxonomy places the organism in Eukaryota, Metazoa, Mollusca, Bivalvia, Myida, Dreissenidae. The transcript has 4 exons. The record is from RefSeq and is a predicted model, not a curated record.
CAGAAAUAUCCAAUCAACAACAACGACGUUUUAAUAAAUGUAAAUAAAUGAAAAAUACUUAUCAUUCUGAUUGUAUUGGAAUAAGUUUUUAGGGAAUACUAUAAGAAUAGCAAACAGUUUGGAUCCUGAUGAGAUGCCACGUUUUGUUUGCAAAGGCCUUCAAAACUCGGUUCCAGCACUGAAAGAGUUAAAUUUCAGUCAACUUCAAUUCUAAGGCGGAGGUUGGAGUGACAAUAAUGCCAGAAACAGGCCAGAAGUCAGGACUGCUUACAUCAUUUGGGAGUAAAAACACCCUGAAUAGUCCGAAAACUAGUCAUAGUUUUACCAGAUUCCUAGAGUAAAAACUUCAACCUAUGGAAGAGAGUGUUAGGUAUGAUGGAUGACCCAACGCCCACCAAAAGGCCACGACUGCUCUCGGAGACCAUUUCCUACAUUAUGAAGCCAAAACGAGCACCCACAGUGGAUGUCAAGCCAUCACAGCAGCUACAGGGGUAUGGUAAACCUUGACGAUCAAAUGAGCAGUGUUCUGGGAAAAUAGGGCUUAAUGCAUGUGCGUAAGUAUCGUCCCAGAUGAGCCUUUGCAGUCCGCACAGGCUAAUCAGGGACGACACUUCCCAGUUUUAUUGAAUUUUUAUGCCCCCGGUAGGGUGGCAUAUAGCAGUUGAACUGUCCGUCAGUCCGUCAGUAUGUGCGUCGGUGCGAAAACUUUUACAUUGCCCAUAACUAUUGCAAUAUAGAAGAUAGCAACUUGAUAUUUGGCAUGCACGUGUAUCUCAUGGAUCUGCACAAUCUGAGUGGUGAAAGGUAAAGGUCAUCCUUCAAUGUCAAAGGUCAAAUAUAUGUCUUCAAAGCGGCGCAGUAGGGGGCAUUGUGUUUCUGACAAACACAUCUCUUGUUAGUUUUAAGUAAGUCUCUUUUAAAUGACAAUCCAGUAUAGGUGAAGCUGUUGUUCCUGAUCAGCCUGUGCGGACUGCAAAGGCUAAUCUGGGACAAAACCUAACACACAUGCACUAAGCCCGGUUUUUCCAAAAGCAGGUCAAAUUUUUACCAUCAGUUUUUACAAAUAAACCAAGAGCCACUUGCCCUGCAGGGCAAGUAGGCCUGAUAAUGCACUUGUCUUAAAGUUAAAUCUGCGACUUGCUUUUUUUCGUGUGUUUACAGUGGUUUGAUAGAAAAGAACUUGUUAAGUUAAAACAAAAUAAGUUCUAAGGUUGGUUAUUUUUAAUGAUUGCUGGUAAAUUUCAUUGAUGAACAUCAGGAGAAGUAUUUCAGGAUUUAAUGAUAAAUAA